RNAcentral lists this microRNA precursor (114 nucleotides) under Hordeum vulgare. Its description in RNAcentral is "microRNA MIR1122". It matches the Rfam family "MIR1120/MIR1122 microRNA precursor family". The record is from RNAcentral. Lineage: Eukaryota; Viridiplantae; Streptophyta; Magnoliopsida; Poales; Poaceae.
UAAGUACUCCCUCCGUCCCAAAAUAAGUGACUCAAAUAUGACACAAUUUUGCACUAAAUUAGUGUAAAAUUGAGUCAUUUUUAGUCACUUAUUUUGAGACGGAGGAAGUACUAA